This 627-nucleotide long non-coding RNA is filed under the name Brassica napus (rape). RNAcentral describes it as "long non-coding RNA (BNAP_LNC027014)". The record is from RNAcentral. Lineage: Eukaryota; Viridiplantae; Streptophyta; Magnoliopsida; Brassicales; Brassicaceae.
AUGAAAUCAUUCCUUACAAUUAUAUUAAACAACAUGUACAGCAUAACAAACAUAAAAUUCAAUAAAUUACAAAACUGAACAUUAUGGCAAUUUAACGAAAAAACUAAACAAGGGGCAUGGCAUAUGUUUUUUGACGGUUGCAUUUUUUACCUUCUCAGAAUCAAUCAUCUCUUCUCCUGUAAUAGAAGUGACACAUGUUGUAUCAAGCCUUCCAAAACCAGCUCUCAAUCGGGGCAUAGGGGACACAUUCCGAUACUGUCGUAUGAAAUUUUCGAGCAAGAAAUAGAGAGCAAUGAGCAGGAAGAAGGCGAAGGUCGCGGAGAGAAACACUAGAGGGUGCGGUGAGAUUACUGCCAUCGCUAGAGCAUAAGAAAUGCACAGAGAUGUGCCAAUCCAAAAGAACCAAAGUACAAACAAACUACCAAGUGGUAUGAGACAAAAGGUGUAGAGUAUAGCGCAGCCGAAGCCUAAGGCGUUGAAAAGCCAAAUAAGGAUGAAGAAUGUUGUUAUGUGAUGAGAUUCAAAAGAUGUAAAGACUGAUUUUAUUGAAUGAAAAGAGUUUGCUUGAUCAACACGAACGAGUACAAAGGAAAUACUAGAGAUACUAUCUCUCCAUGAACAUGAUGA